This 128-nucleotide non-coding RNA is filed under the name Monodelphis domestica (gray short-tailed opossum). The record is from RNAcentral. Lineage: Eukaryota; Metazoa; Chordata; Mammalia; Didelphimorphia; Didelphidae.
GUGUUGUAUGAAAGGAGAGAAGGUUAGCACUCCCCUUGAUAAGGAUGGAAGAGGUCCUAGUGGCCUUUACAACACACAUAUGGUUAAGGCAUUGCUACCUACUCUGUGGUAUCUAACCUGUUUUUUUU